GCCCAGACUCCUACGGGAGGCAGCAGUGGGGGAUAUUGCACAAUGGGGGGAACCCUGAUGCAGCGACGCCGCGUGAGUGAAGAAGUAAUUCGUUAUGUAAAGCUCUAUCAGCAGGGAAGAAAAUGACGGUACCUGACUAAGAAGCCCCGGCUAACUACGUGCCAGCAGCCGCGGUAAUACGUAGGGGGCAAGCGUUAUCCGGAUUUACUGGGUGUAAAGGGAGCGUAGACGGCGGUGCAAGCCAGAUGUGAAAGCCCGGGGCUCAACCCCGGGACUGCAUUUGGAACUGUGCUGCUAGAGUGUCGGAGAGGCAGGCGGAAUUCCUAGUGUAGCGGCGAAAUGCGUAGAUAUUAGGAGGAACACCAGUGGCGAAGGCGGCCUGCUGGACGAUGACUGACGUUGAGGCUCGAAAGCGUGGGGAGCAAACAGGAUUAGAUACCCUGGUAGC
This 448-nucleotide ribosomal RNA is filed under the name uncultured bacterium. RNAcentral describes it as "bacterial SSU rRNA". It matches the Rfam family "Bacterial small subunit ribosomal RNA", at positions 329 to 794 of the family's 1533-position model. The record is from RNAcentral.